CACGGGUGAGUAACACGUAUCCAACCUGCCGUCUACUCUUGGACAGCCUUCUGAAAGGAAGAUUAAUACAAGAUGGCAUCAUGAGUUCACAUGUUCACAUGAUUAAAGGUAUUCCGGUAGACGAUGGGGAUGCGUUCCAUUAGAUAGUAGGCGGGGUAACGGCCCACCUAGUCUUCGAUGGAUAGGGGUUCUGAGAGGAAGGUCCCCCACAUUGGAACUGAGACAUGGUCCAA
This 233-nucleotide ribosomal RNA is filed under the name uncultured bacterium. RNAcentral describes it as "partial 16S ribosomal RNA". It matches the Rfam family "Bacterial small subunit ribosomal RNA", at positions 102 to 334 of the family's 1533-position model. The record is from RNAcentral.